Long non-coding RNA from Lutzomyia longipalpis, 828 nucleotides. RefSeq lists it as uncharacterized. The record is from RefSeq and is a predicted model, not a curated record. The transcript has 4 exons. Lineage: Eukaryota; Metazoa; Arthropoda; Insecta; Diptera; Psychodidae.
AGUCAACUUAACAUUACUGUGCUACCUUAAGUUAUAUUUUCCGGAUUUCUGAAUUUGCGUCGAGUAGUUUCACCAGCUGCCGCAGGUGGAGCUACCCGCGCUUCUCUUGUCAAUUUUCUCUCACUUUUCUGUAAAAUGCCCUCUGCGAGGCACAUGUGAAAUAUAUUCGCUCCGCGCUAAAUGAAGUUAUAAUUCUCGCAAUUCGUGUGUUUUAUAAAGUGUGGUUUGCCGCAGCCUUCUACCUUGUCGUCUGGCCUCUAGAUUGGAUGGGGAAAGGACAAAGAAUUUCAUUUUUUGAUCCUUCUCCCCAGACCUCAUGCUAAUUCCAUAUUUAUUCCAAUCUAUCUUAAAGGUAACGACAAAGGAGGCUUAGUGAGGCUCUUAUUGGGCAGCAUUUAUUAAUCCUGUUCUUUCUACCUUUGCAUAUCAAGGUAUCUAUACUACGCCCCUAUUGAUCGCCCCCAAGAGUGGCUGACUAAUCUUUACAUCCUGUAUAUGCCAGGUGAGAGCCGCCCACAUUUUUUGGUCCUCCGAGGAAAUUGGACUCAGCGUGCUGCAAGAGUCAUCGCAUUUCCGUAUCUUCGUCGAGGCUUCUCCGUCGCUUGCCCUCCAGCCAAUGAAGAAAGCGUCUAACAUCUCAAAUCUCACGUCGUGGAACCCCGCUACAACUGCCAAAGCAUUCAACGAGAAGUUGCCAUCCGCAAAUGUGCCAUCCGCUGCCAAUUCUGUGUCAUUUGUGGGGCCCAGCAUCUCAGCGCAAAGCAACUUCCGGCAACACCACGUGGAGUUUUUGGAGAGUUCAGUCAGUCAAAAUGACUGUAGCCUUUC